ACGAGUGGCGGACGGGUGAGUAAUGUCUGGGAAACUGCCUGAUGGAGGGGGAUAACUACUGGAAACGGUAGCUAAUACCGCAUAACGUCGCAAGACCAAAGAGGGGGACCUUCGGGCCUCUUGCCAUCGGAUGUGCCCAGAUGGGAUUAGCUAGUAGGUGGGGUAACGGCCCACCUAGUCGACGAUCAGUAGCCGGACUGAGAGGUUGAACGGCCACAUUGGGACUGAGACACGGCCCAGACUCCUACGGGAGGCAGCAUG
This 261-nucleotide ribosomal RNA is filed under the name uncultured bacterium. RNAcentral's name for it is "partial 16S ribosomal RNA". It matches the Rfam family "Bacterial small subunit ribosomal RNA", at positions 91 to 353 of the family's 1533-position model. The record is from RNAcentral.